RNAcentral lists this ribosomal RNA (396 nucleotides) under uncultured bacterium. RNAcentral describes it as "bacterial SSU rRNA". It matches the Rfam family "Bacterial small subunit ribosomal RNA", at positions 29 to 416 of the family's 1533-position model. The record is from RNAcentral.
AUUGAACGCUGGCGGCAUGCCUUACACAUGCAAGUCGAGCGGCAGCGCGGGGGGCAACCCUGGCGGCGAGCGGCGCACGGGUGAGUAAUACAUCGGAACGUGUCCUUUCGUGGGGGAUAACCAGUCGAAAGAUUGGCUAAUACCGCAUGAGAUCUCACGAUGAAAGCGGGGGAUCCGAGGGUAACUUCGGGCCUCGCGCGAUUGGAGCGGCCGAUGUCGGAUAGCUAGUUGGCGGGGUAAAAGCCCACCAAGGCGACGAUCCGUAGCUGGUUUGAGAGAACGACCAGCCACACUGGGACUGAGACACGGCCCAGACUCCUACGGGAGGCAGCAGUGGGGAAUUUUGGACAAUGGGGGCAACCCUGAUCCAGCCAUGCCGCGUGUGUGAAGAAGGCC